UACGGAGGGUGCAAGCAUUAAUCGGAUUUAUUGGGCGUAAAGGGCGCGUAGGCGGGCAGAUAAGUCAGAUGUGAAAGCCCAGGGCUCAACCUUGGAAUUGCAUUUGAAACUGUUUUUCUAGAGGGUAGGCGGAGAAAACAGAAUUCCACAUGUAGCGGUGAAAUGCGUAGAUAUGUGGAGGAAUACCGGUGGCGAAGGCGGUUUUCUAGCUUAUUCCUGACGCUAAUGCGCGAAAGCAAGGGGAGCAAACAGG
RNAcentral lists this ribosomal RNA (253 nucleotides) under uncultured bacterium. Its description in RNAcentral is "partial 16S ribosomal RNA". It matches the Rfam family "Bacterial small subunit ribosomal RNA", at positions 524 to 776 of the family's 1533-position model. The record is from RNAcentral.